UCGGAAUUCAAUCUACGACCUUCCACCAAGUGUAGGAAAGCUCGGAAUCUAAAUCAAACACUCGAACCUCGCAACUUGCACAGGUCCGGUGUGUUACAAAACAGAUUUCAAAAGAAUUUUCUCGUGGUUUUCUCGACUUAGUAUUUCAAAAUAAGUUUCCGGGUAGAAAACGUUUUAACUGAUAGUUGUGGAUUUAUAUUCAGAUCUCUGUUUAUGAACCUGCGGUGAAUGAUGUAUGGAUAUUAAAUGUAUGAUGACUUGUAUAUUCAUUUAGUUGUGGUUGUAUCCUGUUUUACAUCUUAUCAUUGUGCAACGCCGUGCAAAUACAGGGGAGACUCUGUCCGUAUGAACAGUGGAAUCCCUGUAUUUGUGGCGGAUCUGGCAUACCCUGUAUUUCAAAAUAAGUUUCCGGGUAGAAAACGUUUUAACUGAUAGUUGUGGAUUUAUAUUCAGAUCUCUGUUUAUGAACCUGCGGUGAAUGAUGUAUGGAUAUUAAAUGUAUGAUGACUUGUAUAUUCAUUUAGUUGUGGUUGUAUCCUGUUUUACAUCUUAUCAUUGUGCAACGCCGUGCAAAUACAGGGGAGACUCUGUCCGUAUGAACAGUGGAAUCCCUGUAUUUGUGGCGGAUCUGGCAUACCCUGUAUUUCAAAAUAAGUUUCCGGGUAGAAAACGUUUUAACUGAUAGUUGUGGAUUUAUAUUCAGAUCUCUGUUUAUGAAC
This 719-nucleotide long non-coding RNA is filed under the name Ananas comosus (pineapple). RNAcentral's name for it is "long non-coding RNA (ACOM_LNC044222)". The record is from RNAcentral. Lineage: Eukaryota; Viridiplantae; Streptophyta; Magnoliopsida; Poales; Bromeliaceae.